GCAGCCACUCAUUCAAAGAGUGCGUAAUAGCUCACUGGUCGAGUGAUCCUGCGCCGAAGAUUUCCGGGGCUAAAACUUACUACCGAAGCUACGGCAUCAGUAAUGAUGGGUAGGGGAGCUUCCCAUACGGGUUGAAGCAUGACCGUAAGGACAUGUGGACAGUAUGGGAGUGAGAAUGUUGGCAUGAGUAGCGAGAUGUGGGUGAGAAUCCCACAGGCCGUAAACCCAAGGUUUCCAGGGGAAGGUUCGUCCGCCCUGGGUUAGUCGGGACCUAAGCUGAGGCCGAAAGGCGUAGGUGAUGGACAACAGGUUGAUAUUCCUGUACUACCGAUAACCGUUUGAGAGAAGGGAUGACACAGUAGGAUAAGCUAAGCACACUGUUGGUUAUGUGUGCCCAAGCAUUGAGGCAGUCAAAGUAGGCAAAUCCGCUUUGAUAAUGCUGGGGUGUGAUGGGGAGCGAAAUUUAGUAGCGAAGUAGCUGAUUUCACACUGUCAAGAAAAGUCUCUAUCGAGGGUAAAGGUACCCGUACCGCAAACCGACACAGGUGGGUGAGGAGAGUAUCCUAAGGCCAGCGAGAGAACUGUUGUUAAGGAACUCGGCAAAAUGACCCCGUAACUUAGGGAUAAGGGGUGCCACCAUCAGGUGGCCGCAGAGAAUAGGCCCAAGCGACUGUUUACCAAAAACAUAGGUUUCUGCUAAGUCGCAAGACGAUGUAUAGGAGCUGACGCCUGCCCGGUGCUGGAAGGUUAAGGGGAUCUGUUAGAGCAAUCGAAGCAGUGAACUUAAGCC
Molecule: ribosomal RNA, 790 nt
Filed under: Clostridioides difficile
Lineage: Bacteria; Bacillati; Bacillota; Clostridia; Peptostreptococcales; Peptostreptococcaceae
Description: bacterial LSU rRNA
Rfam family: Bacterial large subunit ribosomal RNA
Source: RNAcentral